UGAAAGAGUGGAACAGCUUGAUCAACCCAACAGAUACCUGGCCUAUGGAAACCUCUGGUUGGCACCAUGACCUCCCUAUUUUGUUAACUUCACCAUCUCCUUCUACACCUGCAACAGGCCCGUGACCCUCCCUCCUGCUUUCCUUCUCCAUGGGUAGGAAAGAAGAGACUUUUCUUGCUUUCACAUAUCCCUGGAUAGAUCCCACCUGGAUAUAUCCCAAAGUGUGAGGAA
Corapipo altera (White-ruffed manakin) is the source of this 231-nucleotide long non-coding RNA. RefSeq lists it as uncharacterized. The transcript has 3 exons. Lineage: Eukaryota; Metazoa; Chordata; Aves; Passeriformes; Pipridae. The record is from RefSeq and is a predicted model, not a curated record.